AUUGAACGCUGGCGGCAGGCCUAACACAUGCAAGUCGAGCGGAUGAAGGGAGCUUGCUCCUGGAUUCAGCGGCGGACGGGUGAGUAAUGCCUAGGAAUCUGCCUGGUAGUGGGGGAUAACGUCCGGAAACGGGCGCUAAUACCGCAUACGUCCUGAGGGAGAAAGUGGGGGAUCUUCGGACCUCACGCUAUCAGAUGAGCCUAGGUCGGAUUAGCUAGUUGGUGGGGUAAGGGCCUACCAAGGCGACGAUCCGUAACUGGUCUGAGGGGAUGAUCAGUCACACUGGAACUGAGACACGGUCCAGACUCCUACGGGAGGCAGCAGUGGGGAAUAUUGGACAAUGGGCGAAAGCCUGAUCCAGCCAUGCCGCGUGUGUGAAGAAGGUCUUCGGACUGUAAAGCACUUUAAGUUGGGAGGAAGGGCAGUAAGUUAAUACCUUGCUGUUUUGACGUUACCAACAGAAUAAGCACCGGCUAACUUCGUG
RNAcentral lists this ribosomal RNA (484 nucleotides) under uncultured bacterium. Its description in RNAcentral is "partial 16S ribosomal RNA". It matches the Rfam family "Bacterial small subunit ribosomal RNA", at positions 30 to 507 of the family's 1533-position model. The record is from RNAcentral.